RNAcentral lists this long non-coding RNA (240 nucleotides) under Lepisosteus oculatus (spotted gar). RNAcentral describes it as "lncRNA (ENSLOCG00000021323.1)". Lineage: Eukaryota; Metazoa; Chordata; Actinopteri; Semionotiformes; Lepisosteidae. The record is from RNAcentral.
UAGCAGUCAGUUUUUAGUAAAGUAAUAACAAAUAUUAUAUUGCAUUAAUGUUAGUGGUGGGCGCAAAGGCUGCUGGAUUAUGAAGGUGUGCAACUGUGCUCCCUGUCCUGCCACGGUCCCGGAUCGCCUCUCCGGUGCUCUACCCAGAAGAACAAGGCAGCUCCACCUCUGUGGCUUUGCAGGUCUGGAGGCUACAGGGGCUGCAGGAGUCCCCAGUCGCAUGUUGGUUUUGGAUAGCAA